This 76-nucleotide transfer RNA is filed under the name Alloprevotella sp. RNAcentral describes it as "tRNA-fMet(cat)". It matches the Rfam family "tRNA". From Rfam's summary of the family: Transfer RNA (tRNA) molecules are approximately 80 nucleotides in length. Their secondary structure includes four short double-helical elements and three loops (D, anti-codon, and T loops). Lineage: Bacteria; Pseudomonadati; Bacteroidota; Bacteroidia; Bacteroidales; Prevotellaceae. RNAcentral also lists the same sequence under 3 other names. The record is from RNAcentral.
CGCGGAGUGGAGCAGUUGGUAGCUCGCCAGGCUCAUAACCUGGAGGUCGCCCGUUCGAGUCGGACCUCCGCAACCA